This 626-nucleotide unclassified non-coding RNA is filed under the name Homo sapiens (human). RNAcentral's name for it is "long intergenic non-protein coding RNA 308 (ENSG00000262510.2)". Lineage: Eukaryota; Metazoa; Chordata; Mammalia; Primates; Hominidae. The record is from RNAcentral.
AAACAUGGCCAGGCAAGAUGGCUUAUGUCUUUAAUCUCAGCUGUUUGGGAAGCCAAGUGGAAAGAUUGCUUGAGGCCAGGAGUUCAAGACCAACCUGGAUAAUACAGCCCAGUCCCAAAAAAGCACCUGAAGCUUGUUUUAGUUUUCAUUCUUCUUAUGAGAGAAAUUGGGCCUGAUGCUGAAGGAGAACUCUUCUGUCCACUGCAAGUCCACUUACAUGAGCAGCUAAAUAAAUGAAUGGGAUUCUGAAGGACUGUAUGUGGAGAGCAAGGUUAACCAUUUGUGCUUGCUGCAUGAGUGAAUAAGCAACGAUGAGUGUUAGGCUGUUUAUUCAGAUACCCUCACGCCACUGCAGAAGCGAGUAGAGGAAGAAUACAAGGAAAAAAGUGUCUCCCAGCCUGUGGAAAGAGGAUGGCUAUUUCAUCCACUAAAGGUGUACACUUUAAGUGAAUUGGUAUGUCUACAUCAUCCCAGGAGGAGUGAAUGUCUGUGUGUGUGUACCUGAGAUAAGAUGAUGUCUUGUCCAAUGCUGGUUUCCACCUUGUGCCCUGAGCUGUUGGGAGAGGCUCCUGCGACCUGUGACCCUGAAGCAGAAUAAGUGGACUGAAUAAAGGAAUGAUGCGUAU